UACACUGAGCAGUGGACUCCGUGAUUCUAGU
This 31-nucleotide non-coding RNA is filed under the name Mus musculus (house mouse). The record is from RNAcentral. Lineage: Eukaryota; Metazoa; Chordata; Mammalia; Rodentia; Muridae.